UCUUAACCCUGGUUUUCCUCCUCUAGUGUGGUAGAAGAGGAGACACGGCGAUCCCAGCAAGCUGCUCGAGAUAAACAGAGUCCCAGCCAGGCCAAUGGCUGCAGUGACCAUAGGCCUAUUGACAUCCUGGAAAUGCUGAGUAGAGCCAAGGAUGAGUACGAGAGGGCUCAGAUGGGCGACUCAAAUAUCUCCAGCCCUGGGUUACAGCCAAGCACUCAGCUUUUCAAUCUAGGAAGCACUGAAACUCUAGAAGAGACGUCCUCUGGAUCACAAGAUAAGGUUUGUAUAGUUAAAGCCCUAGCUUUGUCCAGAGUAACAAAACAAAGAGUAACAUUUUAUAAGGGUUUUAAUUACAAUACAAAUUUAACUUUUCACAGAUCUGUCAGGGUCUUAUUGUAGCAAUAUAAUGACAUCCAUUCAGGUCAUUCCCCUGAUACACAUAACUUUUUUUUUUUUUUUUUUUUAAGCAAAACAGAAAAAAAGGAUAGAAAUGAUACAGAAUUUUAAAAAAAAUUAGGAAAUUAACACUAG
Molecule: long non-coding RNA, 531 nt
Filed under: Cavia porcellus (domestic guinea pig)
Lineage: Eukaryota; Metazoa; Chordata; Mammalia; Rodentia; Caviidae
Description: lncRNA (ENSCPOG00000033134.1)
Source: RNAcentral